This is a long non-coding RNA of Dreissena polymorpha, 533 nucleotides long. RefSeq lists it as uncharacterized. NCBI's taxonomy places the organism in Eukaryota, Metazoa, Mollusca, Bivalvia, Myida, Dreissenidae. The transcript has 3 exons. The record is from RefSeq and is a predicted model, not a curated record.
AGGUGCAGAUAAACAAGUGUAAUUCUCCCGAAGAAUGUUUGGCCCAAACAAUAUCUAAGAAACAAAAAGUUGAUAAAAAUGCAGAAAGAUAUGGCCAAUUCAUUGAAGGUGACGACAUGCAGGUGUGACUGUAUACACGACUGUUACUGCUGCCUGGGUAUUAUGUGAGCAAGAAACACGUCUGGAUUAUAAUUUGGACACACAUGUACAGCUGUUUUGUGAAUAUGAUAAAUUAUGUAUGUUAUAUUUGCAUUUUUGAUUGGUUUUUAGAUGUUUAAUGUUCAAUACAUCAGACAAACUCUGAAGUUUUUUUUUUAAUAGAAUAUUAAUUUAUAAAACAAAAUCCCAUGAACUACAACCAUAUGUUUAUAGCUUUACACUUCAAGAACAACUAUUUUUGUGUAUUAUGAUUAUAUAUUUGUUAAUGAGAUACAAUUUUGAGUUGAAAUAUUAUGAAUUUUGUUAUGCCGGCGUAAUAUUUGAUUUUGGUCUGUAAAUAAGAAAUUAUUGGAAAUGCAAGAGAUCCGCUUAUG